RNAcentral lists this long non-coding RNA (970 nucleotides) under Aotus nancymaae (Ma's night monkey). RNAcentral describes it as "lncRNA (ENSANAG00000038947.1)". The record is from RNAcentral. Lineage: Eukaryota; Metazoa; Chordata; Mammalia; Primates; Aotidae.
CGAGAAGGGUGUGCUGCAGAAGCACAAGCGGGCCUUGCACAAAUACAGCCUGAUGAAGAGGCAGAUGAUGAGCGCCGCCGUGCAGAACCGCGAGCCGGAGUCCGUGGAGCAGCUGGAGUCCCGCAUUGUGGAGCAGGAGAAUGCGAUUCAGACCAUGGAGCUGCGGAACUACUUCUCCCUGUACUGCCUCCACCAGGAGACGCAGCUCAUCCACGUCUACCUGCCCCUCAUCUCCCACAUCCUCCGUGCCUUCGUGAACUCCCAGAUCCAAGGGCACAAGGAGGUGAGUCCCCCCUUGCUCAGGAUGCUGUCUUGGCCUCGGCCUUCCUUUUUUCCCUGACGCCCUUCCCUCAAGCCUGGCAGUGCGGUGGCCGGCCGCCCUCGAGAGGUUCUUUAGUGGAGUUGGGGUCCACAUGGAAUAUGGUGCUCACCUAGAUCUUCUAGUCUCCUUUGUAGCCAAAGUCAGAAUCAUGAGGGUGUCCCUGUGAUUCCUGGGGGCGGAGGGAGGAAGGGACAGGGACAGUUUGCUUUCCAGAGGGAUUUGAGAAGUCAGAGGUAAAGGCUGCAGAGCUCCCACACCCUGUGGCUGAGACAAGGGUUCUGAGUGCUUGGGAGCGCUGUAGGUGGGGUGUUUGUCCAAAGAGCAUGGGCCAGCUUUCUGCCGAUGGUGCUUCCUUUAGCCUUUGAGAAGAAAUGCUCUCGCAGUCCUGAGACAGGCCCCCCAGAGUGCUGGGAUUACAGGCGUGAGCCACUGCGCCAGGUUGAGAUUGAGUUUAUUAAGUAGCUGCAAGCAGCUUUGAAGCCGUGGUCUGUGGCAUGUGUUGAAUGGUGCCGAGUGUCUGGGAUGGUCAUAAGGUUUCACGCUCUCCCCGGGAGGUGCUUGGUGCCUUGGGUGCCGUCUGGCAGUUGGGGAAUGGCAGGCCGGAGGUGGCAGUGGUGGGGCCGGAGAGGCGGAGACAGCUGCCCUUAG